CAGCUGAGAACACCGGCGGUGGAAAGACCGACGGCAAAGCCAUGGCCGUAAUCAGAAUAACAUCAGAAUGUAAUUGGAAGACACUUGAUUGCUCACUGCUGUCUCCUUGAAGAAUCUCAAACAGGAGUUCACGCAUUAGGUAUAAAAUAAUGCUUUCUGAAGCUAUGUUGUUCGUCCUUCUCGUCUUUAGAAUCUUCCAAAUGCUGAAGACAUCCCAAAGCCUUUACUUCAUCUCCAUUCAAAAAUACUUUGACCAAAAAAAAAAGAAGAAGAAGAAGAAAUUAUUUCUCAACUUUGAUUG
RNAcentral lists this long non-coding RNA (301 nucleotides) under Mus pahari (shrew mouse). RNAcentral describes it as "lncRNA (MGP_PahariEiJ_G0003293.1)". The record is from RNAcentral. Lineage: Eukaryota; Metazoa; Chordata; Mammalia; Rodentia; Muridae.